Molecule: non-coding RNA, 333 nt
Organism: Pelobates cultripes (western spadefoot toad)
Lineage: Eukaryota; Metazoa; Chordata; Amphibia; Anura; Pelobatidae
Source: the annotation of a GenBank genome assembly
GAAUAUCUAGCAGUGUGGGUGGCUUCCCUGGGUUCCAGUGGAGACCAGGCUGUCCAGGUACAGGUGAAGGGCAGGAGCUGCAAUAUCCGCUGUGGGCUGCUCUACCACAGUGUGGAUUCCCAGUCACAAGUGCUGGGAGGAAGGGACCUGAGAUCACUUACUCUAUGUGCUGCAAUGCAUAAAUUGAGGAUUGUCCUUUUCGUAUUAGCAGAUAUCUGAAGUUUCACUGGGACUCCUGAUAGGCCAGAGCCUGUUUGGCUCUAGCAGCCUUGAGUGCCGUGCAAAGACACCUUGAGUGCCGUGCAUGGCACUAGUGCCGUAGGUUGCCUACCC